GGUGUGGCUCAGUUUGGUAGAGCGCCGCGUUCGGGACGCGGAGGCCACAGGUUCGAAUCCUGCCACU
RNAcentral lists this transfer RNA (67 nucleotides) under human gut metagenome. It matches the Rfam family "tRNA", at positions 5 to 66 of the family's 71-position model. From Rfam's summary of the family: Transfer RNA (tRNA) molecules are approximately 80 nucleotides in length. Their secondary structure includes four short double-helical elements and three loops (D, anti-codon, and T loops). The record is from RNAcentral.